Phrynosoma platyrhinos (Desert horned lizard) is the source of this 72-nucleotide non-coding RNA. NCBI's taxonomy places the organism in Eukaryota, Metazoa, Chordata, Lepidosauria, Squamata, Phrynosomatidae. The record is from the annotation of a GenBank genome assembly.
GCCAGUGUGGUGUAGUGGUUUGAGUGUUGGACUCCAACUCUAGAUACCAAAGUUCAAUUCCCAGCUCAGCCA